AAGGAAGUCACAUUCCCACAUCCCAGCCCAGCUCCAGAGUGGGAGAAAUUAAAUAAUUUGUCUGAUGAAAUGAUAGAAACAAAGUCAGGUCACAGCAAAUCAAGGAUCUAAGGGCAGCUGGGAUCAGGUGACACCAGCUGUUGCUAACCUUCCCCUUAAUGAUUAGACAGUAAGAGACACAUGGCCCUCCUUUCAUCUCUUGUCUGUCUUGGCUACUCCAGCAACACUGAAAACAUCUGUAUGUUACUAGUGACAGAGACAGAACAAUAUGAGGGAGGAAUAGCUCACUGGAUUCACUUUUCCCUACCAGGCUGUGAUGAACAAGACAGCAAUGAUGUUUGUCCCUAUGCUUUUCCUCCUUUUUAAGCCUUUGCUAUUCAGCAGCGAGUGUAGCAGCAGACAUUACUGGGCUUUAAAGCAUCAAGUAUUAGCAGAGGUGGUACUUAAAUACACUCUCUUUCUCAUAUGUGCUCUCUCUUCCCAAGAUCUGCUUGGUGCUGAACUGGAAAGAGCAGAAGACUACAUGAAUCUGCCGCUGCUCUUUGCAGAGCUGGCCUUACUCAAAGAUUUUGCUGGCUUUGUAAAUCUUUCCCAGGUGUGGCAUUCUGUUGAAGGUGACAAGGCUGCUAUCUUCUGGCUCCUCAUGCUGCUGAAAGCCUGGGCUGCUUUUAUGUUUUCAGGCUUUGAGCUUUCGGUAAGAUUAGCACCAGAAAGGAACAGAGGAAAUUCACGGGUACAGGACUAA
Cyanistes caeruleus (blue tit) is the source of this 745-nucleotide long non-coding RNA. The record is from Ensembl. NCBI's taxonomy places the organism in Eukaryota, Metazoa, Chordata, Aves, Passeriformes, Paridae.